This is a long non-coding RNA of Rosa chinensis, 613 nucleotides long. RefSeq lists it as uncharacterized. NCBI's taxonomy places the organism in Eukaryota, Viridiplantae, Streptophyta, Magnoliopsida, Rosales, Rosaceae. The record is from RefSeq and is a predicted model, not a curated record. The transcript has 3 exons.
UUACUUUUCUUUUCUUUUUCGAUUUUUCGUUCAAGCAUUCCAUUUGCUUCAAACCACCCUUUCUAUUCUUCUCUAAAACUAUGCUAACCAUUCUUCCUACCUAGAUCGAUCAAAGCUUCAAGAUAAUCCAAAUCCCAGGUUAAAAUGAAGAAUACCCAUUUGUGGUCUGAAGCCCAGGUUGAGAAAUCGACGAUUCAGAUCUAUCUUUGAAGCUGUGAUGUAUUAUUGUAAUCGACCUCUGUUGGAGGUGGGUUUUGGAAGAGGACAGGGAGUAAGAGUGGAAAAUGGUGGCCAUCUGUUGAAGUUCCUUCAAGAUCGGCAGAAUAAUCAUGAAGAACAAUUAUGACUAUAAUUUAAAUUAAAAGGAGGAAUUUAAAAACAAAAAAUCUAAUUUGAAUAAUCUUAAUCCAUUUAUUUUGAUAUAUACAAAAUAAUAAUUAGUGAAUGGGAGAGGAGAACAGCAGCUCCACUACUGGUGGAACCCACCAAAUGCAUUCACACGGAUUUGUCAAUCUGUAUGAAAGUAGUAUUAGCAACGUCAGUAAUACGUACGGAUUAUUAAUUCGUCGUUGUACCGUGUGUAUUGACGUUUUCACACGGAUUUCCGUGUGGA